RNAcentral lists this ribosomal RNA (284 nucleotides) under uncultured bacterium. Its description in RNAcentral is "partial 16S ribosomal RNA". It matches the Rfam family "Bacterial small subunit ribosomal RNA", at positions 356 to 632 of the family's 1533-position model. The record is from RNAcentral.
AGGGAAUCUUCCACAAUGGACGAAAGUCUGAUGGAGCAACGCCGCGUGAGUGAUGAAGGGUUUCGGCUCGUAAAACUCUGUUGUUGGAGAAGAACAGGUGUGAGAGUAACUGUUCACAUCUUGACGGUAUCCAACCAGAAAGCCACGGCUAACUACGUGCCAGCAGCCGCGGUAAUACGUAGGUGGCAAGCGUUGUCCGGAUUUAUUGGGCGUAAAGCGAGCGCAGGCGGUUUCUUAGGUCUGAUGUGAAAGCCUUCGGCUUAACCGGAGAAGUGCAUCGGAAA